UAGGGAAUCUUCCACAAUGGACGCAAGUCUGAUGGAGCAACGCCGCGUGAGUGAAGAAGGUUUUCGGACCGUAAAGCUCUGUUGUUGGUGAAGAAGGAUAGAGGUAGUAACUGGCCUUUAUUUGACGGUAAUCAACCAGAAAGUCACGGCUAACUACGUGCCAGCAGCCGCGGUAAUCGUAGGUGGCAAGCGUUGUCCGGAUUUAUUGGGCGUAAAGCGAGCGCAGGCGGAAGAAUAAGUCUGAUGUGAAAGCCCUCGGCUUAACCGAGGAAUUGCAUCGGAAACUGUUUUCUUGAGUGCAGAAGAGGAGAGUAGAACUCCAUGUGUAGCGGUGGAAUGCGUAGAUAUAUGGAAGAGUACCAGUGGCGAAGGCGGCUCUCUGGUCUGCAACUGACGCUGAGGCUCGAAAGCAUGGGUAGCGAACAGGAUUAGAUACCCUGGUAGUCCAUGCCGUAAACGAUGAGUGCUAAGUGUUGGGAGGCUUCCGCCUCUCAGUGCUGCAGCUAACGCAUUAAGCACUCCGCCUGGGGGAGUACGACCGCAAGGUUGAAACUCUAA
Molecule: ribosomal RNA, 558 nt
Filed under: uncultured bacterium
Lineage: Bacteria
Description: partial 16S ribosomal RNA
Rfam family: Bacterial small subunit ribosomal RNA
Source: RNAcentral